This 279-nucleotide ribosomal RNA is filed under the name uncultured methanogenic archaeon. Its description in RNAcentral is "partial 16S ribosomal RNA". It matches the Rfam family "Archaeal small subunit ribosomal RNA", at positions 1047 to 1325 of the family's 1478-position model. The record is from RNAcentral. Lineage: Archaea; Methanobacteriati; Methanobacteriota.
GAGACCCACGCCAACGGUUGCCAGCUCGUCCUCCGGGAUGGUGGGGACACUGUUGGGACCGCCUCUGCUAAAGAGGAGGAAGGAAUGGGCAACGGUAGGUCAGCAUGCCCCGAAUUAUCUUGGCUACACGCGGGCUACAAUGGGUGGGACAAUGGGUAUCGACACCGAAAGGUGAAGGCAAUCUCCUAAACCCAUCCGUAGUUCGGGCUGUGGGCUGCAACUCGCCCACAUGAAGCUGGAAUCUGUAGUAAUCGUGUCUCAAAAUGGCACGGUGAAUAU